RNAcentral lists this long non-coding RNA (930 nucleotides) under Salmo salar (Atlantic salmon). RNAcentral describes it as "lncRNA (ENSSSAG00000087188.1, ENSSSAG00020065420.1, ENSSSAG00075042396.1)". Lineage: Eukaryota; Metazoa; Chordata; Actinopteri; Salmoniformes; Salmonidae. The record is from RNAcentral.
AAGCUAGUAGUGUUAUACCCACGAAGACGCGAGGCUGUAAUCGCUGCCAAAAGGUGCUUCAGCAAAGUACUAAGUAAAGGUCUGCAUACUUAUGUAAACGUAAUAUUUCCAUCAAACAUGUCUAAAAACCUGUUUUUAUUUUGUCAUUAUGGGGUAUUGUAUGUAGAUAAGGGAUUUUUUAUUUUAUUUUUUACGUUUUAAAAUAAGGCUGUAACUUAACAAUAUGUGGAAAAAGUCAACGGUCUGAAUGCACUGUAUAAUAAAAAGGUACAAACUUCAUCAAGUCCAACUGAAAAAGCUACCGUCGGGUUGAUCUGUGGGGAUAACAGACAUAAAAAGGAACUGAAACAAGAUAUUUUCACAGCCACAAAGGAAAGUUACACUCCCUAAGAGGAGUGCAUUGUCUCUGUAACAAGUAAAAUGUCACAUUUCAGCUAUAACAUACAUUUGUGAAAUUGCAAUAAGAGAAACAUUUUGACUUAAAAUCAUUGUGAAUUUUGUUUUCAUUGUCGGUCUUUCUUCAGCAGGUCCACAUAUACCUUUGCAUCUGUAAUGAAAUGAACAGCAGAGGUUGUAGAUGUCAUCCCGCUGUUGAUCCUUGAAUCUACACAAAUAUAAAAAAGGACCUGGACGACUCCACAUAGUCAAGGGAAUUCUGAGGUAUACCAGGAGAUUCUUGAACAGAACAUCAUGCCAUCAGUCAAGGAGCUAAAGCUGGGCCGAAAAUGGUCUUGCAACAAGACAACGACACAAAGCAUUCAAGCAAAUCAACCAAAGAAUGGCUCAGGAGAAAGAAGACUUGUUUUGGAUUGGACAAGUCAAAGUCCUGACCUAAAACCAAUUUAGAGGCUGUUGCAGGACCUGAAGCAGGCAGUUCAUGCCAGACAACCCUCGAACCUCACUCAAUUGGCUAAGUUCUGGAGGAGCGGG